This 62-nucleotide non-coding RNA is filed under the name Massilia sp. Root351. RNAcentral's name for it is "Betaproteobacteria toxic small RNA". It matches the Rfam family "Betaproteobacteria toxic small RNA". Rfam says of the family: Overexpression in amino aid rich medium attenuates growth, suggesting role in repressing amino acid intake and metabolism. Lineage: Bacteria; Pseudomonadati; Pseudomonadota; Betaproteobacteria; Burkholderiales; Oxalobacteraceae. The record is from Rfam by way of RNAcentral.
UGUCUCCUCCAACCGUUCUCCGAACAUUGGAUUCAGCCCGCGCCUGACGCGGGCUUUUUUUU